GCUGGGGGCGGUGGAGCAUGCCUAUAAUCCCAGUAGCUUGGGAGGCUGAGGCAGGAGGAUCACGAGUUUAAAGCCAGCCUCAUCAAAAGUGAGGUGCUAAGCAACUCAGUGAGACCCUGUUUCUA
Molecule: small RNA, 125 nt
Filed under: Marmota monax (woodchuck)
Lineage: Eukaryota; Metazoa; Chordata; Mammalia; Rodentia; Sciuridae
Source: RNAcentral